AUUGUUUAUAAAUGUUUUUUUCAUUUAAAUGAGGUUAGUUAUAAAUGAUAAUGAGCAUAGUCAAUCUCUUUUUAAAGAAAGAAAAGGGGAAUAGGAUAUAGGAAUGAAUACUUUAAAUUGGUAAAGAUUUUCAUUUAUUGAUACAACUUUAAGGUCAGUUUUGUGAUAUGUAUAUGUCUACUCUUGUUUAGGUAUUGUGUUUAUACAGAUCUUUUACCUAUAAUAGUCAGAACUUAUAAUUAGGUUAGUUAGGUUUUCUAGAUAUAGAGAUGUAUUUGAGAUGGUUAGGUGUUCUUCAAACCUUUCAAAGACCUACAGAAAUAUGGCAUUUAAAUGGUUUAGGGUUUUUCUUGGCAGUGAGACACAACUGCUCCUGGCACACCAAUUAUGUCAGAAAGGAGGAUGGGCAUCGAAGAAACUCGUUAUGGAGUUUGCUUUCAACAUGGCAAGACUAGCCAUUUGGACAAGAAACUGCUCUUGCCUGGACUGUUUGUUGCUGUAUAAAUUGGACAUACAGGACCCACAAGAAAAUGACUGCUAAACUUACAAAACUGAAGGGUUCCUGUUAAAAAGGAGGAGUGUGCCAGACACACUGUGGCCUAUAGGCUGAAGAUGGAUGCCCCAACAUUACAGAGGAACUUUGGGUGACUGUCCAGACAGAAAAUAAGAGAUGAUGGGGGAAAUACUUCUGCGUAUGUUUAUAAAUAAAGUACUUGCUUGGCCAAUGUGACAGCAGGUUAGGCUGGACUAGGAGUCAAAGAGGAUUCUGGGAAAUGUAGUAGAGAAAUGGUGUUCCAGACAGGAAGUGACAUAGCAAGGAG
Molecule: long non-coding RNA, 821 nt
Filed under: Cricetulus griseus (Chinese hamster)
Lineage: Eukaryota; Metazoa; Chordata; Mammalia; Rodentia; Cricetidae
Description: lncRNA (ENSCGRG00015034675.1)
Source: RNAcentral